AACAAACUCUUUAGAUGCACCUUUUUGGGAUGUAUCUGUUCUGUCUUGCUGGCGAUUCUUUUCACCCUGGUGUUGGAUUCUGCAAUGUGCUUGACAGCUUACAUUCGUCAACUUUAGAGGUUGCACAGUCGAAGAUGCUUGACUCAUUGGUGUGUAGAAGCAAUACCCCUGCAUUGUAGCCCAUCUGUUCUGAUGUCAACGACCAGGCUGUUGUGUACCAUUAGAACUUUGCUGCUGUGUAGCCAAG
Small nucleolar RNA from Rhincodon typus (whale shark), 247 nucleotides. RefSeq annotates it as small nucleolar RNA SNORA53. The transcript has a single exon. NCBI's taxonomy places the organism in Eukaryota, Metazoa, Chordata, Chondrichthyes, Orectolobiformes, Rhincodontidae. The record is from RefSeq and is a predicted model, not a curated record.